RNAcentral lists this transfer RNA (85 nucleotides) under Bacteroidota bacterium. RNAcentral's name for it is "Bacteroidetes bacterium tRNA-Leu". It matches the Rfam family "tRNA". From Rfam's summary of the family: Transfer RNA (tRNA) molecules are approximately 80 nucleotides in length. Their secondary structure includes four short double-helical elements and three loops (D, anti-codon, and T loops). The record is from RNAcentral. Lineage: Bacteria; Pseudomonadati; Bacteroidota.
GCGGAUGUGGCGAAAUUGGCAGACGCGCUAGACUUAGGAUCUUGUGCCGCGAGGCGUGGGGGUUCGAGUCCCUUCAUCCGCACAA